CUUAAGGACACUUUUUAAAAAUGCACUUUGUAAUAAUAUCUAAUUAAUUUUAAAUUAUAGUAAGUACACUUUCAACAUAAUAUUUAUAAACACACUUAAGUGGACUUUUAAAAAUGCACUUUUUAAUACUGUCUAAUUAAGCUUAACUUAUAGUAAGUACACUUUCAUCACAAUAUUUCUUAACAUACCUAAUUACACUUUUUAAAAAUGCACUUUGUCUAAUUUAGUUUUACUUAAAUGUAACCCUGGUUAAAUAAUUAAAUAUUAUUAUUUUAAAAGUGUGCUUAAAUGUAAUAGAGACUAUUCAUACAUCUACAUUUAUUUUAUAAAUGAGGAAAUACAUGUGAAUAAUUCAAUCUGAAUUAUAAAUCUGAAAUGAGUAAACCAAUCGGAGUGUUUAAUUGUAAGCUCCGCCCCUUUUUUGCUUUCGGAUCGCGUCUCAGUUCAGAGGAGAGAUGCAGAGCGACAGAGACACUCGAUCUAACGCGAGAGUGUUUAAUUUGAUUAAAUAUGACUCUUAAGUUCAUAUAAACUGAAGAGAUCAGAAUUUAACUUGCAUAUAUUCAAUGAUACAGCGUGAUUGUGUGGAUUGAGCACUUUUUGAGCUUUCAUUUUGACCUGUGUGAUUAUGUAAAACCACAUGGUGCGUUGUGUUCACUGCUGUUCGCUGACGCCAUUUUGGUUGCACGUGCCUGUGAAAGACAAAAAGAGAGAGAAACACGUGAAUGGACAGCUGGAUUUUCCUAAUUGAUGGCGAGCCUCCCAUUUCGACCUGAUUGGAUCACGAAUCUAGAGGAAAGGACAAUUUUCUAUUUUAAAUAUUUUUCUUCAGACAAGUAAGAGGAUACAUUUCAGAAACUGUUUCCUUAUUUUGUUUGUUUACUUUAUUGAACUGAAACAUUUCAGAAGCACAAUUCUGAUAAUUUAAGACUGAUCAAUACUCCAAUUGAUAAGAACUUUGAACUUGAAUACUGAUUUCAGUGUGUUACAUAUAUAAUUUGUACCAUCUUUGUACAUUGAUUGUGACUGUGAUUUCUGUAAAUGAGAAGUAAUUUAGAGGGUGCACCCAUAGUAUAUAUGUGACCAGUCACGGAAAGUAGGGACACAAGUCGGAUCUGGGCAUUUUGAGUUAUUCACAGAUUCUGAAAGUGCAGUUUCUAAGCUUUCCAACGAUGUGUAUCACAUGGAAAUCUGAUAAGAUUUGGAGAAGUUGUGGCCAUUUGAAUAUAGGAACUCAGAAAUACUCAAACCGAGAAAAUCGAGACGAAAGGGACUCUUCUUUUCAGCUGGGGGAGACAAUAGGGCUCACUUACAUCUCAUUUAGCUAAGCCAUGCCCCCUGUAAAACCCUUUUUGAGAUGUUCUAGCAUCAUAUGUAGUAUUUUAUGACCAAAUGACAACCCGCAAAAAUAAACAUGACUCUUUUACCUUUGUGGGGAUCACAAGUCGAAUCCAGUCUGUUUCAGAUUAUCCAAUGUCCCUAUUUGUCCACAAAUGCGUAUAAUCCGUGAAAUAUAGAUUGUUUACAUCAGAUUUCGCAUGAAUGUCUGGUAAUACAAUAUAAUAUAUAAUCUGAAGACUAUUUAAAUCGUAACAUGUAAGGGUAUAUGAGCUUACACUCCGUUAAACACAUGAACCCGCCUUCAAAGUUUGUAUUUAAAAUAGGGAAGUAGUAUAAUAGAUCAUCCAAACAGCGCCGUCGAAAACGUGACAUCCUUUAGAGAGGUUACCAAUGGCUCGCUCGUUCCUCCAUCAGCCAAUGACUUCAUGGAAAAUAUUGAUAGACAAAACAUGUAGCCAAUUAUAUGAAGAAUACAACUAUAUCUGUGUAACUUCUGUGUGUUUGGACUCAUGCUGCGCUGCAAGAACUGACAUACAGAUGACGUCAAAGUACCGCGAGAGCGAGUCGAAAUUAAACUACUCCGUAAGAUUUCUUGAAGAGCUCUCGCGGUACUUUGACGUCAUCCGCCUGCAGCGCCCCAUAAAGUCAGUGACGCGGCUGACGUACGAUGCGGCUGACUGUUAUUUGUUCCGCCCCAGCUUCUUUUAUUUUUCUUUUGUUUUGUGCGCCCGAGCUUUACAGUCUGGGGAGACGCAGGCUAUAAGUUUGAAAAAAAAAAAAAAAACUUAGCAAACAUGUCUGAGGAACAGGGCAGCGCGUCACUACAGUCACGUGACUUCACGCUCGAGCCGGAAGAGAAGACAAUGCUGAAUAAAGUCGUAAUUCUGCUAUUUUUGGACCAAACUGUAUUUUCGAUGCAUCAACACAAUCUCCUGACCCACUGAUGUCACAUGGACUACUUUGAUGAUGUUUUUAUUAACUUUCUGGACAUGGAAACCAUACAUAGAUUUUCAAUGAAGGGGAAAGCUCUCGGACUAAAUCUAACGAUAAAACAUCUUAAACUGUGUUCCGAAGAUGAACGGAGGUCUUCCGAGUUUAGAACGACAUAAGGGUGAGUCAUUAAUUACAUUAUUUUCAUUUUUGGGCGAACUAUCCUUAUUUAGUAGUCACGCUGUUCCCUUUGUGGGCGGAGGCGAAAACACAAGCUUAUACAGUAUGUAAAUAUACACACAGACAAUGACGCCCCCCGCUGCACUCUAGAAUCUCCGGAAAAACAAGCCUAUUUUAACCGCAAAAUGUACGCUUUUAAAUAUACAAAAACUGCUAUCUCAAACAUGGAGAGGCUUCUUCGUGAUCUCAACUAACAGAUUCUUCAAUAAAACGAAAAUCACAAAUUUCGAAAAAAAACUUUGUUUCUCAUUUUCUCGAAACUUGUGCUGCCGACUUGAGUCCCUGGUUUCCGUGACGGGUCACAUAUAGUUAAUUGUAUUUUCAUUGUUGUUACUAUUUUUUGUGAUUAAGGAAAGAAUUAGAAAGGUUUCUCAAUACUCAAAGUAAAAUAAUUUAUUAAUCAACUUA
Molecule: non-coding RNA, 2919 nt
Organism: Paramisgurnus dabryanus
Lineage: Eukaryota; Metazoa; Chordata; Actinopteri; Cypriniformes; Cobitidae
Source: RefSeq, a predicted model, not a curated record